RNAcentral lists this ribosomal RNA (429 nucleotides) under Chloroflexota bacterium. RNAcentral's name for it is "Chloroflexi bacterium partial 16S ribosomal RNA". It matches the Rfam family "Bacterial small subunit ribosomal RNA", at positions 355 to 776 of the family's 1533-position model. The record is from RNAcentral. Lineage: Bacteria; Bacillati; Chloroflexota.
UGGGGAAUAUUGCACAAUGGGCGCAAGCCUGAUGCAGCCAUGCCGCGUGUAUGAAGAAGGCCUUCGGGUUGUAAAGUACUUUCAGCGGGGAGGAAGGGAGUAAAGUUAAUACCUUUGCUCAUUGACGUUACCCGCAGAAGAAGCACCGGCUAACUCCGUGCCAGCAGCCGCGGUAAUACGGAGGGUGCAAGCGUUAAUCGGAAUUACUGGGCGUAAAGCGCACGCAGGCGGUUUGUUAAGUCAGAUGUGAAAUCCCCGGGCUCAACCUGGGAACUGCAUCGGAUACUGGCAAGCUUGAGUCUCGUAGAGGGGGGUAGAAUUCCAGGUGUAGCGAUGAAAUGCGUAGAGAUCUGGAGGAAUACCGGUGGCGAAGGCGGCCCCCUGGACGAAGACUGACGCUCAGGUGCGAAAGCGUGGGGAGCAAACAGG